UGCGUAGGCGGGUCUUUAAGUCAGGGGUGAAAUCCUGGAGCUCAACUCCAGAACUGCCUUUGAUACUGAGGAUCUUGAGUACGGGAGAGGUGAGUGGAACUGCGAGUGUAGAGGUGAAAUUCGUAGAUAUUCGCAAGAACACCAGUGGCGAAGGCGGCUCACUGGCCCGUAACUGACGCUGAGGCACGAAAGCGUGGGAGCAAACA
This 206-nucleotide ribosomal RNA is filed under the name uncultured bacterium. RNAcentral's name for it is "partial 16S ribosomal RNA". It matches the Rfam family "Bacterial small subunit ribosomal RNA", at positions 568 to 774 of the family's 1533-position model. The record is from RNAcentral.